RNAcentral lists this ribosomal RNA (494 nucleotides) under uncultured bacterium. Its description in RNAcentral is "partial 16S ribosomal RNA". It matches the Rfam family "Bacterial small subunit ribosomal RNA", at positions 30 to 507 of the family's 1533-position model. The record is from RNAcentral.
AUUGAACGCUGGCGGCAUGCUUUACACAUGCAAGUCGAACGGCAGCGGGGAGGAGCUUGCUUCUCUGCCGGCGAGUGGCGAACGGGUGAGUAAUACAUCGGAACGUGUCGAGAAGAGGGGGAUAACCACCCGAAAGGGUGGCUAAUACCGCAUAAAUUCUGAGGAAGAAAGCUGGGGACCUAGGAAUAGGCCUAGCGCUUUUUGAGCGGCCGAUGUCGGAUUAGCUAGUUGGUGAGGUAAAGGCUCACCAAGGCGAAGAUCUGUAGCGGGUCUGAGAGGAUGAUCCGCCACACUGGGACUGAGACACGGCCCAGACUCCUGCGGGAGGCAGCAGUGGGGAAUUUUGGACAAAGGGGGCAACCCUGAUCCAGCCAUGCCGCGUGUAUGAAGAAGGCCUUAGGGUUGUAAAGUACUUUUGUUAGGGAAGAAAAGUCAGCUGUGAAUAAUGGCUGAUACUGACGGUACCUAAAGAAUAAGCACCGGCUAACUACGUG